UGAGUAUAGCUCAGUGGUAGAGCUCGUGCUUAGCAUGUGUAAGGUCAUGGGUUCAAUCCCCACUACCUCAA
Molecule: transfer RNA, 71 nt
Filed under: Camelus bactrianus (Bactrian camel)
Lineage: Eukaryota; Metazoa; Chordata; Mammalia; Artiodactyla; Camelidae
Also listed under: 2 other names
Rfam family: tRNA
About the family: Transfer RNA (tRNA) molecules are approximately 80 nucleotides in length. Their secondary structure includes four short double-helical elements and three loops (D, anti-codon, and T loops). Further hydrogen bonds mediate the characteristic L-shaped molecular structure. tRNAs have two regions of fundamental functional importance: the anti-codon, which is responsible for specific mRNA codon recognition, and the 3' end, to which the tRNAs corresponding amino acid is attached (by aminoacyl-tRNA synthetases). tRNAs cope with the degeneracy of the genetic code in two manners: having more than one tRNA (with a specific anti-codon) for a particular amino acid; and 'wobble' base-pairing, i.e. permitting non-standard base-pairing at the 3rd anti-codon position.
Source: Rfam by way of RNAcentral